This is a non-coding RNA of Rhodnius prolixus, 73 nucleotides long. Lineage: Eukaryota; Metazoa; Arthropoda; Insecta; Hemiptera; Reduviidae. The record is from Rfam.
AACGGAUUGGCAGUGUGGUUAGCUGGUUGUGUAAAAUUUGGCGUCACGCCACUAUCUUCACUGCCACUCCGAC